GGGCCCGCACAAGCGGUGGAGUAUGUGGUUUAAUUCGAUGCAACGCGAAGAACCUUACCAGGGUUUGACAUCCUGCGAAUCUCUUGGAAACAGGAGAGUGCCUUCGGGAACGCAGUGACAGGUGGUGCAUGGCUGUCGUCAGCUCGUGUCGUGAGAUGUUGGGUUAAGUCCCGCAACGAGCGCAACCCACGUCUUUAGUUGCCAGCAGUUCGGCUGGGCACUCUAGAGAGACUGCCGGUGAUAAACCGGAGGAAGGUGUGGAUGACGUCAAGUCAUCAUGCCCCUUACAUCCUGGGCUACACACGUACUACAAUGCUACGGACAAAGGGCUGCAAGUUCGCGAGGACAAGCAAAUCCCAUAAACCGUGGCUCAGUUCAGAUCGUAGGCUGCAACUCGCCUACGUGAAGGCGGAAUCGCUAGUAAUCG
Molecule: ribosomal RNA, 427 nt
Filed under: uncultured bacterium
Lineage: Bacteria
Description: bacterial SSU rRNA
Rfam family: Bacterial small subunit ribosomal RNA
Source: RNAcentral